Molecule: unclassified non-coding RNA, 250 nt
Filed under: plant metagenome
Description: partial contains small subunit ribosomal RNA, internal transcribed spacer 1, and 5.8S ribosomal RNA
Source: RNAcentral
GUAGGUGAACCUGCGGAAGGAUCAUUACAAAUCCAUCCACGUCUCAGUCUUGAGACCACGUUGAAAUGUUCCCUAGUGUUGUGUGUCUCUCUCGGCAUGCGCGCACGGCCGUCUUUUUACGGGCAGUCGUCGCGUCGUCUUGUGGGUGUGGCGGCACUAGGCUUGGUAAACUAGUAUUAUCUGUUGCUCAAUUGUAUCUUUCUUGAUUGUAAUGAUCAGGGUAAACAAAGUACAACUUAUAACAAUGGAU